ACUUUGUUUCCAGGCACUGUGCUAGGAAUCUGUCACCCUCUUUAGUCCUCAUAACUCUCUGAGGUGGAUGGAGGAACUACUCAGCCCCACGAACAAUCCUGUGUUUGCUUCUGACUUCAUCAUGCAUCCUUGGAGAGACGAUUCCAACAAGAGAUAAGGUGGAGACUGUGAAGAUUCUUCUUCCAGAGUUUUUAGUCACUCACAAAACAGAUGUCAUUUUUGAAAAUGCCGAAUUGCAAAAUACACAAAAAAAUCAGCGUCCUUCAAGAAUACUGUUGUGCUUUCUUCUCAUUUGCUGGUAGGAAACAUGUGUGUCUUGAAUACCAAUUAUCUUUUCAGUUCAGUGUUUCCUUCAGAGAACAAAAACUUUCUGGUACAGCUGGAGAGGACAAAUAAAAUGGUAUCACAGAGGAGCAACUCGCACCUUGGAACCAGCUGUUUGUGCUAUUUUGUCAUCUUCUCUUUAACCCCUCAAGUUCUGGAAAAGGGUACAUGGAGAUUGAGGAGAACCAGUAUCACAACCAAGCUGGGGGACUCAAUGAAGAGUUGCUCCUUCAGCAAAUGAGCUUCACUAAAGGAAACCAACCCUGAAUAUUCAUUGGAAGGACUGACGCUGAAACUGAAGCUCCAGUAUUUUGGCCAUCUGAUGGAAAAAGCCAACUCACUGGAAAAGACCCUGAUGUUGGGAAAGAUUGAAGGCAGGAGGAGAAGGGGACAACAGAGGAUGAGCUGGUUGAAUGACAUCACCGAUUCAAUGGACAUGAGUUUGAGCGAACUCCAGGAGAUGGUGAAGGACAGGGAAGCCUGGUGUGUUGCAGUCCAUGGGGUUUCAGAGUCGGACACGGUUUAGCGACUGAACAACAACAAGAGUGUUUGAAGGAGGGGAUUCCCAGAGCAGAUGGAGGAACUUCCCACAUACCAGCUGUGCAGUCCAACUCGUGUUUUAUUAAAUAAUCCAUAUUGUUGAUGAUGUUGGGUAAUUCUGAGCACUCGAUCAUCGUGACUCAAUUCUGAGCAAGGGCUCUGGGCUCUUUUUAGGUAAGAUUUUCUUGUCAUUGUGUUGCUGUGUGCCAGCACUUGUGGCAGAGCUAGAUGUUCUCAGAUGGAAGCAAUGUUUCUCUGUCACCAGUAGGUGAUGUUGGGCUUCAUGGCUGCACUGUUUACUGUGAUGGCCCAUCUUUCCUGCCUUAACACUUUAGCUCACUUUGUACCCUUCGCCUGGAAUUCCCUUUCCACUUUUCUUCUCUUGAAGGUCCAGUUCAAAAAAUGUUUGAGUUCACGGAGGCUCUGUAACAACCUAGAG
This is a long non-coding RNA of Bos indicus x Bos taurus (hybrid cattle), 1303 nucleotides long. The record is from Ensembl. Lineage: Eukaryota; Metazoa; Chordata; Mammalia; Artiodactyla; Bovidae.